UAAUAUAUCGGAACGUACCCUGGAGUGGGGGAUAACGUACGAAAGUUACGCUAAUACCGCAUACGAUCUACGGAUGAAAGUGGGGGAUCGCAAGACCUCAUGCUCGUGGAGCGGCCGAUAUCUGAUUAGCUAGUUGGUAGGGUAAAAGCCUACCAAGGCAUCGAUCAGUAGCUGGUCUGAGAGGACGACCAGCCACACUGGAACUGAGACACGGUCCAGACUCCUACGGGAGGCAGCAGUGGGGAAUUUUGGACAAUGGGCGAAAGCCUGAUCCAGCAAUGCCGCGUGAGUGAAGAAGGCCUUCGGGUUGUAAAGCUCUUUUGUCAGGGAAGAAACGGUGAGGGCUAAUAUCUCUUGCUAAUGACGGUACCUGAAGAAUAAGCACCGGCUAACUACGUGCCAGCAGCCGCGGUAAUACGUAGGGUGCAAGCGUUAAUCGGAAUUACUGGGCGUAAAGCGUGCGCAGGCGGUUUUGUAAGUCUGAUGUGAAAUCCCCGGGCUCAACCUGGGAAUUGCAUUGGAGACUGCAAGGCUAGAAUCUGGCAGAGGGGGGUAGAAUUCCACGUGUAGCAGUGAAAUGCGUAGAUAUGUGGAGGAACACCGAUGGCGAAGCAGCCCCCUGGGUCAAGAUGACGCUCAUGCACGAAAGCGUGGGGAGCAAACAGGAUAGAUACCCUGAUAGUCCACGCCCUAAACGAUGUCUACUAGUUGUCGGGUCUUAAUUGAC
This 727-nucleotide ribosomal RNA is filed under the name uncultured Janthinobacterium sp. RNAcentral's name for it is "bacterial SSU rRNA". It matches the Rfam family "Bacterial small subunit ribosomal RNA", at positions 111 to 839 of the family's 1533-position model. Lineage: Bacteria; Pseudomonadati; Pseudomonadota; Betaproteobacteria; Burkholderiales; Oxalobacteraceae. The record is from RNAcentral.